Molecule: transfer RNA, 73 nt
Filed under: Felis catus (domestic cat)
Lineage: Eukaryota; Metazoa; Chordata; Mammalia; Carnivora; Felidae
Also listed under: 2 other names
Rfam family: tRNA
About the family: Transfer RNA (tRNA) molecules are approximately 80 nucleotides in length. Their secondary structure includes four short double-helical elements and three loops (D, anti-codon, and T loops).
Source: Rfam by way of RNAcentral
GCCUGGCUGGCUCAGUCAGUAGAGCAUGGGGCUCUUGAUCUCUGGGUCGUGAGUCCAAGCCCCACCCUGGGCA